This 940-nucleotide ribosomal RNA is filed under the name bacterium enrichment culture. RNAcentral's name for it is "bacterial SSU rRNA". It matches the Rfam family "Bacterial small subunit ribosomal RNA", at positions 28 to 904 of the family's 1533-position model. The record is from RNAcentral.
GACGAACGCUGGCGGCAUGGAUUAGGCAUGCAAGUCGAACGGUAUAAACCUUUCGGGGUUUAGAGAGUGGCGAACGGGUGAGUAACACGUAGGUAAUCUACCCUCAAAACGGGGACAACCCAGGGAAACUUGGGCUAAUACCGGAUGCGUGCAAGCAAUGUUUUGGCUGUUAAUGCUAUUCACGGAAGUGAGUAGUGUUAAUGGUUGAGAGCAUUAUUUGCAUAAAAGGUGGCAUAUGCUGCCGUUUGAGGAUGAGCCUGCGUCCUAUUAGUUAGUUGGUGAGGUAAUGGCUUACCAAGGCGAUGAUAGGUAGGCGGCCUUAACGGGUGGUCGCCCACACUGGGAUUGAGAGACGGCCCAGACUCCUACGGGAGGCAGCAGUCGAGAAUAGUCUACAAUGGACGGAAGUCUGAUAGUGCGACGCCGCGUGAACGAAGAAUCCCUUCGGGGUGUAAAGUUCUUUUAUACGUGAGCAGUGCCCUUUAUAUGAAUAGUAUAGAGGGAGGGAUUUAAGCGUAUGAAUAAGCAACGGCUAACUCCGUGCCAGCAGCCGCGGUAACACGGGGGUUGCAAGCGUUGUCCGGAAUUACUAGGCGUAAAGUGCAGGUAGGCGGAUAGAUAAGUUUAAGGUUAAAGGCUACGGCUUACCCGUAGUAAGGCGUUAGAUACUGUUUAUCUGGAAUGCGGUUGAGGGAGACAGAAUUCCUGGUGUAGCGGUGGAAUGCGCAGAGAUCAGGAGGAAUACCGAAGGGCGAAGGCAGUCUUCUAAGCCGAUAUUGACGCUAAACUGCGAAGGUGUGGGGAUCAAACAGGAUUAGAUACCCUGGUAGUCCACACAGUAAACGAUAAUCACUAGGUGUUGGGUUCGUAUAGGACUCGGUGCCGGAGCUAACGCGAUAAGUGAUUCGCCUGGGAGUACGAUCGCAAGGUUGAACCUCAA